GUCCGGCAACGAGCGCAACCCUCGUGAUUAGUUACUAACAGUUCGGCUGAGGACUCUAAUCAGACUGCCUUCGCAAGGAGGAGGAAGGUGAGGACGACGUCAAGUCAUCAUGGCCCUUACGGCCAGGGCUACACACGUGCUACAAUGGGGCAUACAAAGAGCAGCGAUACGGUGACGUGGAGCAAAUCUCAUAAAAUGCCUCCCAGUUCGGAUUGUUCUCUGCAACUCGAGAACAUGAAGUUGGAAUCGCUAGUAAUCGUAGAUCAGCAAUGCUACGGUGAAUACGUCCCGGGUCUUGUACUCACCGCCCGUCACACAU
RNAcentral lists this ribosomal RNA (319 nucleotides) under uncultured epsilon proteobacterium B2M13. Its description in RNAcentral is "bacterial SSU rRNA". It matches the Rfam family "Bacterial small subunit ribosomal RNA", at positions 1084 to 1404 of the family's 1533-position model. Lineage: Bacteria; Pseudomonadati; Campylobacterota. RNAcentral also lists the same sequence under 2 other names. The record is from RNAcentral.